This 110-nucleotide small nuclear RNA is filed under the name Cebus imitator (Panamanian white-faced capuchin). Lineage: Eukaryota; Metazoa; Chordata; Mammalia; Primates; Cebidae. The record is from RNAcentral.
AUGUAUUAGGCUGUUCUUGCAUAUAUAUUAAAAUUGGAAUGAUACAGAGGAGAUUAGCAUGGCCCCUGUGCAAGGAUGACACACAAAUUUGUGAAGCGUUCUAUAUGUUU